Molecule: RNA transcript, 3937 nt
Organism: Brassica rapa (field mustard)
Lineage: Eukaryota; Viridiplantae; Streptophyta; Magnoliopsida; Brassicales; Brassicaceae
Gene name: sugar transporter ERD6-like 18
Source: RefSeq, a predicted model, not a curated record
AAUAAAUCCUGUCUUAUCCGUACUGCAUGUGUUUAUGAUGGUGUUGGUGGAAGAAGAAAGAAGCAUAGAAGAAGGGCUUUUGGAGCUCAGUAACCAAAGUGACGCUUCAGGCUGUCGUAUCACUGCCUGUGUUAUCCUCAGCACUUUCGUCGCCAUCUGUGGCUCCUUCUCCUUUGGAGUUGCUAUUGGUUAUACUUCAGGUGCUGAGAUAGGAAUUAUGAAAGACAUGGGUCUCUCUAUCGCAGAGGUAUGUCUCUCUUUUAGUUCUUAUUUUUGACUAUUUCCAUAAACAAACAUUAGAAUGAAACUAAUCACAAACUACUUAUUCAUUCAAAUUGCAAACUGCAAUAGAUAAACUAUCAGGAAAAGAUAUAUCGUUGUUAUCCCAAAUAUUGAAGUUGACUUUACGUGUGGUUCACUUCCAUUUUACCCUCUUUUGUUUUUUUCUUGUUAACAUCCUCCAUUUUUACCUUUAAAAAAUUUAAUCGCAAGUUCUUAAAAAAAAUGUUAUCAUGAUAUAUAAACCCUUAACCACUUCAAGGUGGCCCAGUGGUAAGCGUCAAAGAGAUAGCGCUGCAUGGGUUCGAAUUGCGGUGGCCACCCGGGCUAGCGUUAAAUCGCAAGAAUACGUGGAUUGUCGUGGGCUUCGUGGGAUUAGUCGGUUGACCUCGGUCGUCAGAUCCCCACGGUUAUCAAAAAAAAAAAUGAUAUAUAAACCCUACGAACAAUAGAUAUAUAAUUUCCUUAUAUAAUAUAAAUAUAUAUAUAUAUAAUUUACCCAUUAAUAUAUCUAAUUUUCUCAUGUGUGGAAUUUUGAAAUCAUACAAAAUAGUGUAUAUAUCUAUCAAUUGUAUUAAUUCCGGCCGUACUCUCUCAUUUACGACGAUGGAGGCUAUGUAUUUCACCAUGUAUCCCUCUUUUGUCUUAUUUUAGUACCGUACCGUUCAUUCAUGUAUUUCUCUUUUCUGCUUUUCAGUGAAUAGAUUACUUAAUAUGUAUUAGUAUUUCUUGUUUUAGUAACUAAUGUCCCGAUAAAACUGAUCUACUCAUCAACUUUGGCAAUUUAAAAUUUCAAAAAAAACUCUGGCAAUUUAUAGUUUGAGUAAUCAAGAAUAUCUUAAAAUUUUAAUCAAAUUUCAGUUCUCAGCGUUUGCUUCACUCUCUACGUUAGGAGCAACAUUCGGUGCAUUGUUCAGCGGUAAAAUGGCGAUCCUGCUAGGAAGAAGAGGAGUAAUUAUAUUGUUACCUUUACAUAAUAAUCAUAAAAAAAAAAUUAGUAGGAUUUGAUAAUCAAAAUUUUCCCAUUUAAGGAAAAAUAAUCAUGGCAAAAAGAAAGAAAUAAAGAAUAGAAACUUCCUAUCAUAAAUGUAUAUUUUGUUGCUUUGCAUGAUUUGAAGACAAAUGUGGGUCUCCGAUAUCCUCUGUGUCAUUGGUUGGCUGUGCAUCGCUUUCGCUAAGGUAUUAACAAGAUAUCCUUUUUUUUACUGAUAUUAACAAGAUAUCUUACCACAAACAUAAAGGUCGUAAUUUCAUUAUUUCUUGAAAAGUGAUCAAACAAUUUAUCAUUUGGUUAUAUAUACCGAACAAUUUAAUAGUUUUUCUUUUCUUUUGGUAUGCAUGAAUGGCACAUAAAAGAAUGUGUUGUGGCUACACUUCGGAAGAAUCUCAUCGGGAAUAGGAAUCGGCUUGAUUAGCUAUGUGGUAAUUAAAAUUAUGUCAAAUAGUUCACUCUAUAGUAGAAUUGAACUAUAUCUAAUGAUAUAUUCUUAAUGUCAUUCUAACCAUUUUUUCUUAUUACACAAAAAGUAUCACUUUGCAAUUCCAAUGCAAAUUAUACUUAUUUUCAUCUGAAAAUUAAUUGCAAACAUUUUAUAAAUAAUUUUAUUUAUCUGAGAUACUAUUGGUCAAAGAAGUGUAAUUAAUAACAACUUACAUAUAUUUCUACCACUUUUUUAAUCUGUGUGAAAAAUGUCAAAGUGACACUUAUUCAGAAACGGAGAGAGUAAUAUUUUAAAAUAAAAAUAAAAUGAUAAACAAAAAAUAAAUAAAAUAUUUUAUUUGUAAAGUAAAUCUAAAUUUAUUCUAUUAUCGAGUAAGAAAAUAGAACCAAGUUGCAUUUUCUUACCUCUAUUUUAUAGAGAAAAAUAUGGUGAGGUUAGAGAUGUUCUAACAUGUUAUUCUGAUAAUUUCUUACAUAAAUAUGAUAUCAUCUUACAAUUUUUUUUAUCUUUGUUUAUCUAUUAUAUACAUUUACUGUUGAUUUUUAAAUGUACACCAAGCAGGUACCUGUGUACAUAGCAGAAAUUACGCCAAAACAUGUUCGCGGUACAUUUACCUUUUCAAACCAGCCUCGCCGCCACGAUACCAGUAAAGACAAUCUCUGUCAAGCAUAGACUCCAACACAGGCGUACACUCUUGCCGAUUUGAGAGCUGGCCUUUGGAUCUUAGUAAGUUUGACUAUGUUCUUUUCCUUUUGCUAACCUCAUGACUGUCGUCAUAUCUGAAAGCAAUCUCUUAUACUACAUCUAUCAAAGAAGAUUACUACGUACGUUUUGCUAUUGCCGGGCCUGUUCAUUGAAAGUCAUUCCUCUAAUUCUCUGUUAUUUCAACACGCAUGCCUCUGAUGAGUUUCUUCCAUAUUUUUUUCCUUUAGUUUCUAAUGUAUAAUAUGCUGGUUUGAACAGGAACUAAGCUUUGCAACUCAGAUAGUUCAUGUGGUAAUUGCUGGAAACGCUGUUGAAUUUUUCCAUAAACUGGACAGAUAUCUCUACUUAUAUACAGCUUCAAUUAUCGCCUCUUAGAAACGUUAUUACUGGCUGAUUUUUGCAGAACAUGGACUCCAAAGAUCAAUCAAAACUGUAUGAGCCCAUCAAAGAGCUUGAUAUCAUGUUAACACAAGUGAGAAUGUUUGGCGAGCUGUCAAUGAACUAUAAACUGACUGGUGAAGCUGUAAGUUGUUUUAUUUUACGAGAGAACACGGCUUCUAUACCAUUUGUACUUGAUUUUAGGGUACUAAAGUUUUCUUGGACAGGUUGCAGUUUAAAAAUGAUGAACAGGAUGUAUAUCUCUUGGGAAGAAUGUAUUAAUCUGAGGGAAGUGAAGGUUUCAUAUCGUAUGAAUGAUUGUAUUAAUCUUCUUGAGGAAUUUGAUGUCUAAAAUUGGUGCUUUCAAGUCUUUUCUUGCAUGCCUCAGCGUGGAUACUUCCAUCGUGAUCUAAAGUCAGAAAAUAUGUUCUCUAAAAAUGUCAUCAUUAAGAUCACUGAUCUUGGCGUAGCCUGGGAGGUCCAUUCGAAUAUACAGAGUAUGUCUAGACACGCUGGUACAUGGCACCAGACGUACCGACUACAGUCAUAUGUGUACACGUCAAAAGUUGAUAUGUGGGCUAUGGGUGCUAUUCUGACUAAAGUUGUUGUCUCUUCGCUCUCUCUCUUUCGAAGCUAGAUAUUCUUUAAUGUGUGCAGUGUGAUAGGUAUCCCAACCAAAGAGACAUGGUUGAAGGGGCUAAAUCUUACUAGCGUUAUCGAUUACCAAUUCCCUCAUGUAAUGUUUGCUCAAAUAUUCAACGUUUCUUGGGCAAAAGUAGUGUCACGGAUAUUUACGUCUACAUCGUUAAUCAUUGUACCAAUAUACAAUAAUAUUUAUGAUUAAACGAGAGCACUAAUAGUGUAUUAUACUAUUAUCUAAAAUAAAAAGGAUUUAUUGAGAGUUUUUUUUUAAGUACUUGAAAGUGUUUCCUAUAUAUUCAUUACAGAGAAUUAGGGCUGAACAAAAUAACCCAACCCAAAAAGUAGUAUAUGUUCAGAGUUCUCUGAAGUAUGUGUGGUUCAGAAUUAUAAAUUUAAAUAUUUUAAUUAUUUUCUAAAAUAAUAUUGCACAACUAUCUAAAAGAUUUUAUUAUCCGAAAAAAUAAAAAAAUAUCUAAAAACUACACAAAAUA